GAGAGCGGGUGAGAGGCUGGAUCGGCGAGUGAGAGAAAGAGAGGGAGAGGAGCGAGCGCGGCUCGCCUCGUCGCCGGGGCAGCUCCACAUUGUUGCGGAUCGCCCGCACCCAGCGCGGUGGCGGCGGUGGGGACCCGUGGCGCACCCAGCUCGCUCCCCUCGCUCCUCGGAGACCGUGCAGCCCAGAGCCCCGCGGGCAGCUGGCCGCUGUAGCCGCACACCACCGCCUGGGCCCCGAGCCCUCCUCACCGCCCGGCCACCCUCGGAGAACAACCGGCCAUGGACGCCUGCAAGUUGGAGCCGAGCGGGAGGGUGUGAGCGCGCCCCAGGGCCGGGAGCCUGCGCCGCGUUAGCCCGGUAGCCGGGCGAGCCGGGGGUGGGUCCCUCUCCCCAGCCCCGCUUUGCGUGGAAGAAGAGGGCGGGGACCGGGGCGAGGAGGAGAGCGGAGGAGGCGAAGGGGGCAUGACUCGUGCAACUUACUGCGGGCAUCUGCCGAGGCUCUGAGCCGGCGGCAGCCGGGGCCCGGAUUGCGGCCGC
This 537-nucleotide long non-coding RNA is filed under the name Rattus norvegicus (Norway rat). RNAcentral describes it as "long non-coding RNA NONRATT027607". The record is from RNAcentral. Lineage: Eukaryota; Metazoa; Chordata; Mammalia; Rodentia; Muridae.